UGUAGGGUGGUGAAAUGGCAGACACACCUCCUUAUAAUGGUGAAGAAAGUUCAAAAGACUGGAUUCUUGUAGGUUCGACUCCUACCCCUACAG
RNAcentral lists this transfer RNA (93 nucleotides) under Pseudopedobacter saltans DSM 12145. RNAcentral's name for it is "tRNA-Tyr (ATA) (tRNA-Tyr-ATA-1-1)". It matches the Rfam family "tRNA". From Rfam's summary of the family: Transfer RNA (tRNA) molecules are approximately 80 nucleotides in length. Their secondary structure includes four short double-helical elements and three loops (D, anti-codon, and T loops). Lineage: Bacteria; Pseudomonadati; Bacteroidota; Sphingobacteriia; Sphingobacteriales; Sphingobacteriaceae. The record is from Rfam by way of RNAcentral.